This 464-nucleotide ribosomal RNA is filed under the name Vreelandella stevensii. RNAcentral describes it as "partial 16S ribosomal RNA". It matches the Rfam family "Bacterial small subunit ribosomal RNA", at positions 338 to 795 of the family's 1533-position model. Lineage: Bacteria; Pseudomonadati; Pseudomonadota; Gammaproteobacteria; Oceanospirillales; Halomonadaceae. The record is from RNAcentral.
CCUACGGGAGGCUGCAGUGGGGAAUAUUGGACAAUGGGGGAACCCUGAUCCAGCCAUGCCGCGUGUGUGAAGAAGGCCCUCGGGUUGUAAAGCACUUUCAGUGAGGAAGAACGCCUGGUGGUUAAUACCCAUCAGGAAAGACAUCACUCACAGAAGAAGCACCGGCUAACUCCGUGCCAGCAGCCGCGGUAAUACGGAGGGUGCGAGCGUUAAUCGGAAUUACUGGGCGUAAAGCGCGCGUAGGUGGCUUGAUAAGCCGGUUGUGAAAGCCCCGGGCUCAACCUGGGAACGGCAUCCGGAACUGUCAAGCUAGAGUGCAGGAGAGGAAGGUAGAAUUCCCGGUGUAGCGGUGAAAUGCGUAGAGAUCGGGAGGAAUACCAGUGGUGAAGGCGGCCUUCUGGACUGACACUGACACUGAGGUGCGAAAGCGUGGGUAGCAAACAGGAUUAGAUACCCUGGUAGUC